UCAAAAGUUCAGGCUUCACUGAGCAAAGAGAAAGCCGAAAUGGGCCACUUUUCCCCGACCGAAACAACCUCCGAUCUGUUGCGGAUCAUCCAAGUGUUUGGUACGAGGAGAAAGCUAAUGAAAUGCCCUGUCCAAUCACGUAGGUCAAAUGGCGAUAUUAUUUUGUAGUUCUUUUAAAAGAGCCAAUCAAAAGAGUAAACCAAACCCUCUUGUUGCUAUGCUUGUCAAGAUCAAGCUCCGUGAUUGGUCAAACGCCCACCGCGUGCUCUACGGGCAUGCGCAGUUCUCUCACUUACAUCCGCAACAAACCAAGCAUGGUUAGUGUUAUUGCAAGUUUGAUUAAUGUUUCGUCUCGUAAAUAGCCGUAUUUACUCCUCAUUUUUGGACAACAAUGACAAGGACAAAGGCGACUGGCAGUCUGAUGAUGACUGGGAUGCCUUUGAUGAUGAAAAAGACGAUCGAGUGCACGAACUGGGAACAGAUUCAGCAGUGGAGAAGACCAAUGCGAUUUUUACCGCGGACGUAUCUCCCAAUUCUGGCUAUGAAAAGACCAAUAAUCUUUGCAUCAGCAAGGAAAGACUAACAGGCUUACUGAAAUGGUACUCCAAUGGGACAGGACAGGAGGGAGAAAGAGAUCCCUUCAGCUGGACAACAUCAAAGGAGAGGUGACAUUCAUCCAACAACAAGGUUCACAAAAUGCCCUAGUGCUCACUGGACAUGUCCCUGGAUUUAAACGUGAUGAUCUACAGCCCCUGCCUUCAGUUCACACUGCCACCAAGGUCAACCAAAGCUACAAAGAUGUUCUUCUUGGGACAGAGAAGAACUACUGGACCAUCAAGCACCAACAAGAGUGGAGACUUGAAGAAAGCGACGCAUAUCUGAAUCUUACACUGACUCUGAGAGUGCCCAUAGACAGGUUGUGGGCGUGGAGAUGAACUUUUAAAUCUGUAAAUAUGUGGCAAGUACACAAGAGAAUACGUGAGUAAUGUGUGUGUGUGUGUGUGUGUGUGUGUGUGUGUGUGUGUGUGUGUGCGCGCGCGUGCAUGUGUGUAUGUGUUUAUGCUAAAUGCAUUUAAUUUAAUGCUAUAUUGACCUAAAUGUUCAUGUCCUUGAUGCACUGUAUGUUGUGUUUUUUUAAGCUUUGGCAGCAUUGAUACUUCCAAGCAUGCCAAUAAAGCACAUUUGAAUUUGAA
Long non-coding RNA from Engraulis encrasicolus (European anchovy), 1193 nucleotides. RefSeq lists it as uncharacterized. The record is from RefSeq and is a predicted model, not a curated record. NCBI's taxonomy places the organism in Eukaryota, Metazoa, Chordata, Actinopteri, Clupeiformes, Engraulidae. The transcript has 3 exons.